This is an RNA transcript of Capra hircus (goat), 2289 nucleotides long. It is a transcript of the gene named protein bicaudal D homolog 1-like, with no coding region annotated. Lineage: Eukaryota; Metazoa; Chordata; Mammalia; Artiodactyla; Bovidae. The record is from RefSeq and is a predicted model, not a curated record. The transcript has 4 exons.
GCGGAGGCGGGGGCGGGGCGGGGUUCCCGCUGCGUGUGUCCGCAAGGUAUCCGCACCCGCAAGUCAGUUUCUCUGGCCGCCGAGGGUGGAGCUCGUGGGGGAUCCACGCUGUCUAAAUCGGGGAAUUCUAUAACGACCACUGCAGACUCGAUCCUGAACUUAAACUGGGCGGACUCGAUCCUGAACUUAAAUACUAGGCAUUAACAGUAUGAUUAUUCCGAUUUACGAUACCCUCUGUUAUUACUCCCCCGCCAUCAUCUCCAGUAUUAGAUACAAGUGACAUUCGCAAAGAACCAAUGAAUAUCUACAACCUUAAUGCCAUGCUCCGGGACCAUCUCAAACAUCUGCAGAAAGCCGUGGACCGGUCCUUGCAACUGUCUCGUCAAGGAGCUGCAGACCCCGUGGUCGAUAAAGACAAGAAAGCCCUAAUGAAAGAGAUCCUCAAGUUCAAGUCCCUACUGAGCACCAAACGGGAGCAGAUCGCCACACUGAGGGCGGUGCUGAGAGCCAACAAACAGGUGAUCUCAUUCUACUGACCCCGCAACCCACCGGCCGCCGCUCUCUCGCAGCGAGUCUCAGCUCUGCCUGCACUUUGGAAUAAACUGGAGCGCUUUUCAGCCCUGCAGAGCUGGAUGCCGCCACUGCGAAGUCUCAGCUGGUCACAAGAUCUGUAACCUUCGCACCUUCCAGCGCCCACGCCUUCAGUCUAUUUCGUCGGUGCUCAUGUGAUCCCAGGUGGCUUCGGUGACCGCGCAGGUUUGCUCUUGGAGCUCCAAGGUACCCUGAGUCCACCAUGCUGUAAGGAAGCCAAAGCUAGCCACAUUCAGAGGUCCUGCGAAGAAACCCAUGCCCAGCCAGCACCCAGUGGUUCCAGCCAUCCUGGGCCAAGUGCCUAAUGUAUGAAUGAAGACCCCUUCACGUGACCUCAGCCUCAGAAGCCAUCUGACUACAGCUGCAUGAGUGGCCCCAAUAAGAGCUGCCCAGAUAAACCCAUCAACCCCCAAACCGUGAGAAAUGACAGUAAAUUAUUGUUUUGAUCCGAUAAGUUUUGAGGUGAUUUGUGACACAGCAAGAUAACUAGAACACAUCUAGACUCCCGGCUCUUCAGAAGACUGUUGUGCAACUUUUCCUUCCAGUUUCAAAAGAGUCCCCUUAUUCCACCAUUAUAGUUUUUUUGAAAAUUUAUUUUGCUGCAUUGGGCCUUAGUUGGAGCACUCAGAAUCUUUGAUCUUCAUUGUGGCAUGCAGGAUCUAGUUCCCUGACCCGGGCUAGAAUCCACUCCCCUGCAUUGGGAGCAUAGAGUCUUAAGAUACUGUACAACCAAGAAAGUCCCAUCCUUCAUGAAUAAUUAUAAUACUGCCUUGUGUUCUGGUAGCACAUAAAGAGUUACUAGCACGCUAAUUGUGCAUUGUCUCAUCUGUUUUUCAUGUACCUCUGUUUCUCAUCUACAAAAUGAGGUUAUAAGUUCCUUUCAUCAUGCAGUUGACAGAAGGUAAAAAUGAAUUAAUACCUGUAAAGCACUUCAAGUAUUGACUAGCAAAAAGUAAAGGCUCAAUGAGUAUAGCUUUUGUUAUUAAAAAAAAGAAAUCUAUCAAUAAUAGUCCUGUGAGGUAGAUGAGACCGUUAGCCUUAAAUAGGUUAAAUCAGAGACUGCAAAGUGGCCAAAAAGGCCAAAGUUGGCCUGCCCAAUUUAAGCAAAUAUUUGAAUCAACUGUAGCUAUUUCAAAACCUGAUGGAUUUCAUAUGAAUGUCUAUAAUUCUGGCUUAUUGCAAAAAUGGGACUGUCUCUUAGCACUGGGCCUGCAUUCCUGCAAGGUUGCCUGCUGGCUCUUGCUGGCCAGUAACUUUGCCCAUUCCUGUGGAGCCUGUGCUCUCCAGCCCAGCAUUGCCCCAGACUUCCCACACUCACAUCCACAACUUGUGUUUAUUUACACAGCUUGCCUAGCCCUUAUGGACAUGGGAAUCUGUAAUUCAAGGAAGACAGGAAAGAUGAAGAAAGAGAGAGAAGAAGCAUAAAUCCAGCAAGCAGACAUGUUCUUUUCUGACCGUAGCUACAUUGGCAAAUCCUUUAAUAAUCAAAAAGUGCUUUAUUCUGUAGGAGGACCAAAUCCACCUUUGUAGAACUGGAACCUAUUUCAACCAUUGAGACAAAACAAAUGUUCAAGUCAUGGACGUGUUUUUUUCAAAAGCUUGCAAAAUCCUAUUUCUUGUCUUGGAGAUGCUGUCUCUCUUUAGGGAGAACUUUGGGAUGUCUAGGAGAAGGCAAUGACACCCCACUCCAGUACUCUU